GGCCCGGUGACUUGAGCGAGGAGCCCGAACCCGAUCCCAUCUCGAACUCGGCCGUUAAACUCCUCAGCGCUGAUGGUACUGUGUCGCAAGACCCGGGAGAGUAGGUCGUUGCCGGGCC
Molecule: ribosomal RNA, 118 nt
Filed under: Rhizobiales bacterium YIM 77505
Lineage: Bacteria; Pseudomonadati; Pseudomonadota; Alphaproteobacteria; Hyphomicrobiales
Source: RNAcentral